UGUGUAAUAAAAAAUAUACCAGAAUAACUUCUUUGCAUUUGCUGUCAAAACGUCUAACAUUAUGAUUUUGGCUAAAAAAUUUUGCUUCUGUAUAUCCUUGCAAAAGGGAUGUAUACUAAUAGCAUUGACUGGAAUAUUUUUGGCUGGCAUGAACAUUGACUAUAUGAUACUUUGUUUAAAUAGAACCUAUUCCCAAGAAAAGCAGCAUAAAUUCCCAGAAAGAGUUCUCUACACAUUCUUACAAAUGAUACCGGAUUGGUUAACCAUCUUGGCAUCGUGCGUACUAAUAUAUGCAAUCUUAUCGCAUUACUUCAGCAUCAAUCGGUUCGAAUUUAAUUAUUAAUGAGAGUAUUUGGCAUAAUUUAACUUAUUGGAUUUACGUGCUCUUUUGGCUAGCACUGACAGCGUAUUUCAUGUACAUAAUAUAUUCGU
Molecule: unclassified non-coding RNA, 432 nt
Filed under: Drosophila yakuba
Lineage: Eukaryota; Metazoa; Arthropoda; Insecta; Diptera; Drosophilidae
Description: GE28882
Source: RNAcentral